CUUCACCCCAGUUACCAAUCACUCCUUGGGGACCUGCCUCCCUUGCGGGUUAGCUCAGCCACUUCUGGAGCAAUCGACUCCCAUGGUGUGACGGGCGGUGUGUACAAGGCCCGGGAACGUAUUCACCCCUGCCAUGCUGAUCAGGGAUUACUAGCGAUUCCGCCUUCAUGGAGUCGAGUUGCAGACUCCAAUCCGUACUGAGGUCGGUUUUUUGGGAUUGGCUUCACCUCGCGGUUUCGCAGCCCUUUGUACCGACCAUUGUAGCACGUGUGUAGCCCUGGACAUAGGGGCCAUGAGGACUUGACGUCAUCCCCACCUUCCUCCGACUUGAAGGUCGGCAGUCUCGUUAGAGUGCCCAACUGAAUGAUGGCAACUAACGACAAGGGUUGCGCUCGUUGCGGGACUUAACCCAACAUCUCACGACACGAGCUGACGACAGCCAUGCAACACCUAACCACAGAUUCCCCGA
This 469-nucleotide ribosomal RNA is filed under the name uncultured delta proteobacterium. RNAcentral describes it as "partial 16S ribosomal RNA". Lineage: Bacteria; Deltaproteobacteria. The record is from RNAcentral.